UUAAAUCAUUAAAAUUCGUUAAUCUUAAUUAACCUAGAUGAGUAUUUAGAACUUUUUCUUAUUUUUGAGUUUGUAAAAAUUAAAUCUUUCAAGUAAGGUGAACGAUUUUGCUGUGUUUAAUUUAUACAAAAUGUCUCUUUAAAGUUUCAUUAACUCAAAACCUUUCAGCCCAGUGAUUUUGCGUGUGACGUCAUCCAGGGUCACGUACGUUCUCGUGCUUCAUUCGUUUUUUCAAGAUGGCGGAUCGGCUUCGCUUCACACUACAAAUUGAAGGUCCGUUGUUGCUGACUACAGAAAGAUUCUUAUAUGGAGGCAUGUAAAAGCAAGGAAAGUGAAACUUCAACUAGACCUUGAGUUCAGUUUACAAUAUGAAGAUCCUGAUAUCAACAUCUGAUCUUAUCAACACCUGAUUUUCAUCUGAGAGUACCAACAUGUUACAAAUGAGAAUUUUCCCCACAAAUUCUUUGGACAACUGCACCACCACCUAUUUCAUUUGAUGACAAUUUUAAGGCAAACAGCAUCCAAAACUGACAAGACAGCAGAUACCCUGGCUAAUGUUUUGAAGGUUUAUGAUGAGCAGGAACUGCAUGAUGUCAGUUCAUGAUGGACUACUGUUAUCAGAGGUCUUUUGGUCUUGCUGCGUGAGCGUGACUGGGGAUUCUUUAGGACCACCCUGAUUAAUAAUCCUGAAGCGCUGACUGAAGAUGCUUUAUUGGCCCUGCAGUCACUGAGGGUCUCUGCUGUCCUGAAGAAUGAAUUGGACACCACCCACAGCACACUUCCAGACCUUUUUUGUCUUGUUUGGAUUAAUGUAUGCUCUUCACAUAGUAUAUAGUAAAGGACUUUGAACUUGUACAUGGCAUGGAUGAUAGAAAAUAGAAAGUCGAUUAGCAUAGAAUCCUUAAAGAAUGAGUUGAUGUAGAGCCUUUUUUUGUACUCAAUAAAGACUGUCACUGGGGUAGUAACUUCAAAACAUGUAUGUACCUUUAAUUGGUAAU
Molecule: long non-coding RNA, 998 nt
Organism: Danio aesculapii
Lineage: Eukaryota; Metazoa; Chordata; Actinopteri; Cypriniformes; Danionidae
Exons: 6
Source: RefSeq, a predicted model, not a curated record